Pezoporus occidentalis (night parrot) is the source of this 3217-nucleotide long non-coding RNA. RefSeq lists it as uncharacterized. The record is from RefSeq and is a predicted model, not a curated record. Lineage: Eukaryota; Metazoa; Chordata; Aves; Psittaciformes; Psittacidae. The transcript has 3 exons.
AAGUUUUUUUCUUUUCUCUUUUUCUUUCUCUUACUCCUUUUCUUUUCUCCUUCUCCUCCUCCUUAUUCUCUUCUUCUCCUUCUCAGGAUCUGGUUCACUGGUCCCAUUACAGAGUCAGCACAUUCAGAGCAUUCCCUGUACACCGGUUCAGCUUCUCUGUGUAAAUAACGAUUCCUAGGUGUUUCUGCUUUAGAGACCUUCUGAUACGUUUCAGUGCCGAUGUGGCAGAUCCCAGGACAUCUGAAGCAAGGUUUUCCCAGCAGAGAUGGAGAGGUGCUGCUGGACCUUUGCAAAGUCCUCUUCGCAAGGUUGCACCAGGCAAAAGGCACCUGCAGAAGCAAAUGCCUCUGCUCUCCCACAAAUGAUGCUUCACCCAGGGGAGAUGUGCUGCAUGAGUUUCACCUUUGAGGGGCAGGUGCAAUAGGCAGAGGAGGCUUGAACAUGGGAGACCUUCAACCAAAGCAGCCUGACCCCAGAAGAGGUGUCUCUUAAGCCAGAGAUUUUCCAAGUCCUGAAGAAGUUUCUUGCUAAGCCCCAGCUCCUGGAAUCACGUCAGUUUGUGUCCAGCCAAGCUUUCAAGAGAUGCAUGAAGUUAUCUGGACCUAAAGCCAGUUUGGGGUGGGGAAGACAGAGAUUCUCCUGCAUCCAAUGUCGAUGAAGAAUGUCUGGAGGACAAGAGAUCCCUAUGCUUUUUUCCUUGCCUAGAUGAGAAUGCCUGUUCUUCUAAGCUGUAUAUAGCCCUGCUUCUGCAGACUGGGCACUGGGGUGCCACGUUGCAUGGUGAAGGAUUAGGUAAUUUCCUUCCCUUCUUUUCUGGAAGGUGUUUUGAUUAGCAUAACCAUUGUGUUCCCAAAUUAGCUUGUGUUCCUGGCUUUGCCCUAAGGCUGGCUUUUCCUGUUACAAGCCUGCUCUGGCACAAGUGAUACCGCAGCAUCUACAGCAGCAUCGAAUGGUGCAGCUGAGGUUGGGAUGGAUCCAGCUACACUCAGUCUACCAGCUGCCCUUUCUGAGUGACCUUAGGCUAAUGCUGAGUCCUACAGCUCUGUAGCAUUCCAGUGCCUGGCAUAGCUGUGUGGAAACUUCCAAACAGCCCAAGCUUUGAUGUGAGAUUUGGGAGACCACGGCAUGUGCUGGACCAAGACCAGGAGCAGCCAGGACAACCCCAUCCCCGUCAUCAUGGCAGAGGGAGGGAAAGUUAACAUCUGGCAUGGGCUAAGCUGUGCAGCUCUGGUAUCUGAAGCCAUCCUGGUGGGAUGUGUCCGUCUUGGCAUGUGAAAGAAUGCAGAGUUCUGGGAGAAAAUUAGGAGUAGAAUGUGAAACAUUUACCAAGUGGCAACAAGACAGGCACACACAGAGUGAUGAAUCAGGGGCUCCCGAGUGCCAUGGAGAGCAGGGGCUGCUUGCAGAACAGAUCUGGUUGAGCAUGCAACUGGGAAGCUGAAGUCACUGGUUGGCAUGUCCCUUUGGUGUCAAGCCUUAUUCAGGCCAGAUGUACCAAUUCCUGUCUUUAUACAAAAGGAAAGGCUGCUUCCAGAGUCUCCAAAGGGAUGAAUGUGGAUGGAGGACUACAUGGAGGAUCAGCUUGGCUGGUAGACAACGCAGCAUCAUUCCCAUAGUGCAGGCAGCAACCAAAUCUGGAGCAAAGGACCCCCUCUGCUCUCGUUCCUACCAGGUUUCUGGUGUAUUUCUGUAGCAUAAAGUAUUCCAUGGUGGGAGCAAGGGUGGCAGGCACAGUCCAAGUGCUCAGGAUUGAAAUGCAAGGCUGAGCCCAGGCAGAGCUGACUGCUCUCCUGUAAGGAAACACAAGCCAUGCCUGUUUGCAUGCUCAGCCUCCUGGAUGUGGAUCCCAAUCCUACCCAAGCAGGAUUUCAUGGUCAUCUCUGCAACGACUGAGUCUGGACCUUCAGAAGAGACAGGGCUGCAGAGAGAGCCCUGCAGACCUUGUGGCGGGGUUGGUUUGAUGACUGUUGCGCAGAGCUAAAAAUACCCCAGCGAUGGUUAUGAAUUUAGGAUAACUAAUACAUCCAGUGAAGAGAUCUGGAGCCGUUCCAGGGCUAAACAACAGCUUCUUUACCAACAGCCAAAGACUUGUGGAUGCAAAAAUAACUGGGAACUGAAAAACUUGAGCUGGAGCAAGGGGUUUUCAAACUGAACCCAAGAAAAACUUUCUAGCGGAGAGGAUGACCGUGGAUAAUCGCCAGCGCUCUGGUUGUUUUAACAACAGGGUACACAGACCUCUCCAUUUGGGCUGGAUGCUGUCUCUGGGCAGGAGUUGGGUGAACUAGUAGUUAGGGAGAAUUCCUUUGAUAUGGGGGGAAAGCAAAUUAUACUGAUAAUACAGGACCCAGUGGCCUGGAUCAGCAGCAAGAAUCAGAGGGAAACACCAUGGUGGGAGGUAUAUGCUUGAGGUCUUAAAAAGUGGGAGGGGAAAGGCCAAAGAAUAAUAGGCUGUGGAUAAUGGGAAGAGUGCUGUGGGGUGGACCAGCUUUGAGCCAUGGUGGUGGUGGUGAGCAGAGGGCAAACAAGGCUUUCAGACAUCCAUCUACAGCCCCGAAACACAGCAGAGGGAGGAGGAAAAGAGAGAGCUGUGCCAUGGCGGCAGAAGACACCUGGGUUCACAUCCCUGCUCCAUCUGCUCACUCUGCACUGGAAGUGUUUAUGCCUAUUUCAGGUCCCUCUGCAGAAGCCUUAUUAUCAUAAUUAGCCCAGAAUGGUUCUCCAUUAGUGCAUUUUUUCUCUUCUUCCAUCACAUCAGCCCGCAUGAAACAGUCUCUUAUUCUCCUUGCUGUUGUGUCGAGACGUACCAGGCUGUGGGCAGGACCUGCUGCCCGUGCCCUGCCUGGCCUCAAUGGCACAACUUGUUCUCCGUGCAAGGGGCGAUGAUGCAGAUGUAAACCCCAGGGAUAACCAGGAAGAACAGCAUUGAUUGCCUGCUCCCGAGAAUGGCUGGCUACUGGAAUACAACAUCAGUGCCCCAAGCAGCCACAGCAGGCUGCAAGGAGCGAGGUGGCAGGAGGCUGGAAGGUUCCAAAUUAUCACUCCCUCACAGCCACUCUUAUAAUGCAUUCAUUUCUCAGUCUGCAGUCAGUGCCCAGAACCCAGAGUGUGCACCUCAAUGUGACCGAGGAGGUGCAGGAAAGGGAGAGAUACAGCUUUUGGCUUGGCUGAAGAUGUGGAGGCUGGGAGACAUUCUCAUCUGAACCCAGACCUUUUGUGU